GAUGAACGCUGGCGGCGUGCUUAACACAUGCAAGUCGAACGAUGAAGCCCAGCUUGCUGGGUGGAUUAGUGGCGAACGGGUGAGUAACACGUGAGUAACCUGCCCUUGACUCUGGGAUAAGCCUGGGAAACUGGGUCUAAUACUGGAUAUGACUUCUCAUCGCAUGGUGGGGGGUGGAAAGAUUUAUUGAUCUUGGAUGGACUCGCGGCCUAUCAGCUUGUUGGUGAGGUAAUGGCUCACCAAGGCGACGACGGGUAGCCGGCCUGAGAGGGUGACCGGCCACACUGGGACUGAGACACGGCCCAGACUCCUACGGGAGGCAGCAGUGGGGAAUAUUGCACAAUGGGCGCAAGCCUGAUGCAGCGACGCCGCGUGAGGGAUGACGGCCUUCGGGUUGUAAACCUCUUUCAGUAGGGAAGAAGCGAGAGUGACGGUACCUGCAGAAGAAGCGCCGGCUAACUACGUG
Molecule: ribosomal RNA, 466 nt
Filed under: uncultured bacterium
Lineage: Bacteria
Description: partial 16S ribosomal RNA
Rfam family: Bacterial small subunit ribosomal RNA
Source: RNAcentral